RNAcentral lists this ribosomal RNA (253 nucleotides) under uncultured bacterium. RNAcentral's name for it is "partial 16S ribosomal RNA". It matches the Rfam family "Bacterial small subunit ribosomal RNA", at positions 524 to 776 of the family's 1533-position model. The record is from RNAcentral.
UACGGAGGGUGCGAGCGUUGUCCGGAAUCACUGGGCGUAAAGGGCGCGUAGGCGGCGCGGGAAGUCAACGGUGAAAGCUUGGGGCUCAACUCCGAGUCGGCCGUCGAUACUCCCGUGCUCGAGCACUGUAGAGGCAGAUGGAAUUCCGGGUGUAGCGGUGGAAUGCGUAGAGAUCCGGAAGAACACCGGUGGCGAAGGCGGUCUGCUGGGCAGCAUCUGACGCUGAGACGCGAAAGCGUGGGGAGCAAACAGG